GGGCGCGUAGCUCAGUCCGGAUCCAGAGCGUCGGACUUCUAAUCCGACGGUCGCGGGUUCGAAUCCCGUCGCGCCCG
This 77-nucleotide transfer RNA is filed under the name Halobacteriales archaeon QS_6_71_20. RNAcentral's name for it is "tRNA-Arg". It matches the Rfam family "tRNA". Rfam says of the family: Transfer RNA (tRNA) molecules are approximately 80 nucleotides in length. Their secondary structure includes four short double-helical elements and three loops (D, anti-codon, and T loops). Lineage: Archaea; Methanobacteriati; Methanobacteriota; Halobacteria; Halobacteriales. The record is from RNAcentral.